UGAGGAAUAUUGGACAAUGGCCGGAAGGUUGAUCCAGCCAUGCCGCGUGCAGGAUGACUGCCCUAUGGGUUGUAAACUGCUUUUGUACGGGAAGAAACCUCCCCUCGUGAGGGGAGCCGACGGUACCGUAAGAAUAAGGACCGGCUAACUCCGUGCCAGCAGCCGCGGUAAUACGGAGGGUCCGAGCGUUAUCCGGAAUCAUUGGGUUUAAAGGGUCCGUAGGCGGGCCUGUAAGUCAGGGGUGAAAGGCCACGGCUCAACCGUGGGACUGCCCUUGAUACUGCAGGUCUUGAGUCGUUGUGGGGUUGCCGGAACAUGUGGUGUAGCGGUGAAAUGCAUAGAUAUCACAUAGAACACCGAUCGCGAAGGCAGGUGACCAACAACGUACUGACGCUGAUGGACGAAAGCGUGGGGAGCGAACGGGAUUAGAUACCCCCGUAGUCC
RNAcentral lists this ribosomal RNA (444 nucleotides) under uncultured prokaryote. RNAcentral's name for it is "bacterial SSU rRNA". It matches the Rfam family "Bacterial small subunit ribosomal RNA", at positions 355 to 796 of the family's 1533-position model. The record is from RNAcentral.